This 34-nucleotide transfer RNA is filed under the name Aquilaria sinensis. Its description in RNAcentral is "partial tRNA-Phe". Lineage: Eukaryota; Viridiplantae; Streptophyta; Magnoliopsida; Malvales; Thymelaeaceae. The record is from RNAcentral.
CCGGGAUAGCUCAGCUGGUAAAGCAAAGGACUGA